UCUCGUAUAUGCGGAUGUACC
This 21-nucleotide microRNA is filed under the name Brachypodium distachyon (stiff brome). Its description in RNAcentral is "bdi-miR5173-5p". The record is from miRBase by way of RNAcentral. Lineage: Eukaryota; Viridiplantae; Streptophyta; Magnoliopsida; Poales; Poaceae.